AUUGAACGCUGGCGGCAGGCCUAACACAUGCAAGUCGAACGAGUGGCGGACGGGUGAGUAAUGUCUGGGAAACUUCCCUAUGGAGGUGGAUAACUACUGGAAACGGUAGCUAAUACCCCAUACCCUAGGCUGUGCCCAGAGGGGAUUAGCUUGUAGGUGAGGUAACGGCUCACCUAGGCGACGCUCCCUAGCUGGUCUGAGAGGAUGACCAGCCACACGGGAACUGAGACACGGUCCAGACUCCUAAGGGAGGCAGCAGUGGGGAAUAGUGCACAAUGGGAGAAAGCCUGAUGCAGCCAUGCCGCGUGAAUGAAGAAGGCCUUCGGGUUGUAAAGUACUUUCAGCGGGGAGGCGUUACCCGCAGAAGAAGCACCGGCUAACUCCGUGCCAGCAGCCGCGGUAAUAC
This 406-nucleotide ribosomal RNA is filed under the name uncultured bacterium. RNAcentral describes it as "partial 16S ribosomal RNA". It matches the Rfam family "Bacterial small subunit ribosomal RNA", at positions 30 to 526 of the family's 1533-position model. The record is from RNAcentral.